Molecule: ribosomal RNA, 581 nt
Filed under: uncultured Bacillus sp.
Lineage: Bacteria; Bacillati; Bacillota; Bacilli; Caryophanales; Bacillaceae
Description: partial 16S ribosomal RNA
Rfam family: Bacterial small subunit ribosomal RNA
Source: RNAcentral
AGAGCUUGCUUUAAAGAAGUUAGCGGCGGACGGGUGAGUAACACGUGGGCAACCUGCCUGUAAGACUGGGAUAACUUCGGGAAACCGGAGCUAAUACCGGAUAAUAUAUAGUACCUCCUGGUACUAUAUUGAAAGUUGGUUUCGGCUAACACUUACAGAUGGGCCCGCGGCGCAUUAGCUAGUUGGUGAGGUAACGGCUCACCAAGGCAACGAUGCGUAGCCGACCUGAGAGGGUGAUCGGCCACACUGGGACUGANACACGGCCCANNCUCCUACGGGAGGCAGCAGUANGGAAUCUUCCACAAUGGACGAAAGUCUGAUGGAGCAACGCCGCGUGAGCGAUGAANGCCUUCNGGUCGUAAAGCUCUGUUGUUAGGGAAGAACAAGUGCGAGAGUAACUGCUCGCACCUUGACGGUACCUAACCAGAAAGCCACGGCUAACUACGUGNCAGCAGCCGCGGUAAUACGUANGUGGCAAGCGUUGUCCGGAAUUAUUGGGCGUAAAGCGCGCGCNNNNGUUUCUUAAGUCUGAUGUGAAAGCCCACGGCUCNACCGUGGAGGGUCAUUGGNAACUGGGANAC